AUUGAACGCUGGCGGCAGGCUUAACACAUGCAAGUCGAGCGAGGGGGGGACGGGUGAGUAGUCUCUGAGACACUCCCUGGUGGAGGGGUAAAACUACGAGAAACGGGAGCUAAUCCCGCAUACCAACGGAUGUCCCCAGAUGGGAUUAGCUAGUAGGUGGGGUAAACGCUCACCUAGGCGACGAUCCCUAGCUGGUCUGAGAGGAUGACCAGCCACACUGGAACUGAGACACGGUCCAGACUCCUACGGGAGGCAGCAGUGGGGAAUAUUGCACAAUGGGCGCAAGCCUGAUGCAGCCAUGCCGCGUGUAUGAAGAAGGCCUUCGGGUUGUAAAGUACUUUCAGCGGGGAGGCGUUACCCGCAGAAGAAGCACCGGCUAACUCCGUGCCAGCAGCCGCGGUAAUUC
This 406-nucleotide ribosomal RNA is filed under the name uncultured bacterium. RNAcentral's name for it is "partial 16S ribosomal RNA". It matches the Rfam family "Bacterial small subunit ribosomal RNA", at positions 30 to 526 of the family's 1533-position model. The record is from RNAcentral.